RNAcentral lists this long non-coding RNA (544 nucleotides) under Drosophila guanche. The record is from RNAcentral. Lineage: Eukaryota; Metazoa; Arthropoda; Insecta; Diptera; Drosophilidae.
AUAGCUAAGCAAGCAAAAGUUACCAAAAUCAGAAACAAGACAAAACUAAAAUGAAACUAACUAAGGGAGAGGUAGGCUAGUAUAAGAGAUUUAAGAAGAGGAAGGGAGUUAGUUGACGAUAUAAUGUGGUAGAGGGAAUUAUAAUCUGAGCAUAAAACCCUAAACGGUUCGUGUGAGGCAUAAUUCGAUCUACAUAGUGGAAGGAACAAAGGAAUAAAGUUUCUAGUGGGUCUAAUGGGAAUCGUAAAGUUUAUGCGGAUCAGCAAGUCAGGGCUGUCUACAUCCCCCUUGAUCAAGUUGUGCAUAAAAAUUACACCAAGCAUUAUUCUACGACUAACUAAGGAUGGAAGAUUUAGUAAAAGAAGUCUACUACGGAAGGAUGGCAGUCUCACAGUUGCAUCCCAGUUGAGGCCCAGUAGGGCAAAUAAUAAAAAGUUUUUCUGUACUGAUUCAAUACGGUCCUGAUGUAUGUUGUACUGAGGGCACCAUACACAUGAGCGGUAUUCUAAAAUCGGACGAACAAGCGAGAUAUAGAGAGUCUUCG